GAAAUAUACAGCAAUACUAAAGCCGCUAACUUAUAGUAAUAACGGUUUAACUCCGUUAAUGUUUCU
Molecule: transfer RNA, 66 nt
Filed under: Mazarredia convexa
Lineage: Eukaryota; Metazoa; Arthropoda; Insecta; Orthoptera; Tetrigidae
Description: tRNA-Ser
Source: RNAcentral